This 332-nucleotide ribosomal RNA is filed under the name uncultured bacterium. RNAcentral's name for it is "bacterial SSU rRNA". It matches the Rfam family "Bacterial small subunit ribosomal RNA", at positions 568 to 898 of the family's 1533-position model. The record is from RNAcentral.
CACGCAGGCGGUCGUGUAAGUUUGGGGUUACAGCUCCCGGCUCAACUGGGAGAGCGCCUUGAAGACUGCAGGACUUGAGGGCCAGAGAGGGACACAGAAUUCCGGGUGUAGUGGUGAAAUGCGUAGAUAUCCGGAGGAAUACCAAAGGCGAAGGCAGUGUCCUGGCUGGUGACUGACGCUGAGGUGCGAAAGCUAGGGGAGCGAACGGGAUUAGAUACCCCGGUAGUCCUAGCCGUAAACGAUGACCACUAGGUGUGGGAGGUAUCGACCCCUUCCGUGCCGUAGCUAACGUGAUAAGUGGUCCGCCUGGGGAGUACGGUCGCAAGAUUAAA